GGGGUUGUGGCUCAGAGGUGGAGCGCUUGCCUAGCAUGCAUGGGGCACUGGGUUUGAUCCUCAGCACCA
Molecule: transfer RNA, 69 nt
Filed under: Ictidomys tridecemlineatus (thirteen-lined ground squirrel)
Lineage: Eukaryota; Metazoa; Chordata; Mammalia; Rodentia; Sciuridae
Description: Spermophilus tridecemlineatus (thirteen-lined ground squirrel) tRNA
Rfam family: tRNA
About the family: Transfer RNA (tRNA) molecules are approximately 80 nucleotides in length. Their secondary structure includes four short double-helical elements and three loops (D, anti-codon, and T loops).
Source: Rfam by way of RNAcentral